CGCUCUCCACCACAUGUGGUGGGAGCCUUUUCGCAGUACAUAGUGGGAAGCGAAGAAGAGAAGCAUGUCAGAGCGUGAGGUGUGGUGGUGAAUGGCCAAGGCAUUUGACUCAAUAACCAUAACUCUGGAACGAGUAGCUGGGUGGAGACAUUCGUCUGUUGGAAAGUUGGUGGGCAGGUCAAGCCCAUAUGCUGGAAGAAGAGAUGGAUGGAUUCACUCAGCACAUUCAAGAAAUGGGUGUGGCCACGUGUGGAGCAAACCUGAA
This is a long non-coding RNA of Neogale vison (American mink), 265 nucleotides long. RefSeq lists it as uncharacterized. The transcript has 3 exons. Lineage: Eukaryota; Metazoa; Chordata; Mammalia; Carnivora; Mustelidae. The record is from RefSeq and is a predicted model, not a curated record.